GUGGGUNUCCAACUCCAGGCCAGGCAAUC
Molecule: non-coding RNA, 29 nt
Filed under: Mus musculus (house mouse)
Lineage: Eukaryota; Metazoa; Chordata; Mammalia; Rodentia; Muridae
Source: RNAcentral